AUGCGGUUACAGGAAGGAAAAACAACACAGCAGCGGACGGCAGACACAAGCACUAACAGACUGCAUGAAGGAGAACUAAACAUCAGCAACAGUUUGAACACUCUUGGGGGCCUGCUUCUUCUUUCCAGCCUUGACGUGCUUGGCAAGGGCUUCAAUCGCCUGGAUCACCGGCGCGGCCAUGGGCUUGUUGAACAGAGCCGCAUAGGCGUUCUUCACGCCCUCGUUCAUCACCUCGUCAGGCCCAAGCAGGCCGCAAGCCCGGGCCAGCAGCUCCUGCACCACCGAGCUGCCCUGGAGGCACUGCUUGGUCUUCUUUUGCGCCAAACGACCACUUCUCCGAGGCGAGGACAGAUUGAUGCCCUUGGCCCUGGGCGGCUUUUGCACCGGAGUCGGCAGCAGGGGGGCCGGCGGGGUGCCGACGACCGUGCCCAGGAACAAGUCCAGAGCCCCCAAGGUAGGCAGGGCAGCAUCUCCACAGGUAACAUCAGUGCCCAGCGCCGUGGCCGCAACCCUGGGGAAAGGUCCCAGCAGCGCGGAAGCAGGCAGGGGCGUAGACUCCGGGGUACGGACGGGGGACGCAGGGGUGCAGGGGGGGCCACCGUGGCCUGGACGGGGGUGGUUGGGGUGGCGCACUGCACGAUCGCUGCCGGCAAGGGGCGGUCAGGGGACACGCAGAUGGCCGCAGCAACAGGGCGAGACGAGGAUGGCCCGUGCGUGGCCGAGCCAAACUCCGGAGGGGGGAGCCGAGGGAGAGUGCCCCCAGCCCGCAGGCCAGCCCCGCGCCCACGUCGGAAUCGUCCCAGGCUUCAGUCCCAACCGACAAAGGCGCCACAGCCCCGAGCAUCAUGGGAGGGCCGGAGGGGGAGCCGCGCAGGGCCUUCCCAGGAGGGGCGGGUGACGCGGCCGGCACGGCCGGCGGAGCGAGCAGACAGCGGAGGUCAGCCGCAUCCUACAACAUAG
This 960-nucleotide ribosomal RNA is filed under the name Triticum aestivum (bread wheat). Its description in RNAcentral is "partial small subunit ribosomal RNA". Lineage: Eukaryota; Viridiplantae; Streptophyta; Magnoliopsida; Poales; Poaceae. The record is from RNAcentral.